This 465-nucleotide ribosomal RNA is filed under the name uncultured bacterium. RNAcentral describes it as "partial 16S ribosomal RNA". It matches the Rfam family "Bacterial small subunit ribosomal RNA", at positions 28 to 507 of the family's 1533-position model. The record is from RNAcentral.
GACGAACGCUGGCGGCGUGCUUAACACAUGCAAGUCGAACGGAAAGGCCCUGCUUGCAGGGUACUCGAGUGGCGAACGGGUGAGUAACACGUGGGUGAUCUGCCCUGCACUUCGGGAUAAGCCUGGGAAACUGGGUCUAAUACCGGAUAGGAGCCGUUUUUAGUGUGAUGGUUGGAAAGUUUUUUCGGUGUAGGAUGAGCUCGCGGCCUAUCAGCUUGUGGGUGGGGUAAUGGCCUACCAAGGCGGCGACGGGUAGCCGGCCUGAGAGGGUGGACGGCCACAUUGGGAAUGAGAUACGGCCCAGACUCCUACGGGAGGCAGCAGUGGGGAAUAUUGCACAAUGGGCGCAAGCCGGAUGCAGCGACGCCGCGUGGGGGAUGACGGCCUUCGGGUUGUAAACUCCUUUCGCUAGGGACGAGGCUUUUUGUGACGGUACCUAGAUAAGAAGCACCGGCUAACUACGUG